Molecule: RNA transcript, 3594 nt
Organism: Diospyros lotus (date-plum)
Lineage: Eukaryota; Viridiplantae; Streptophyta; Magnoliopsida; Ericales; Ebenaceae
Exons: 3
Source: RefSeq, a predicted model, not a curated record
GCUUCUCUCUCUCUCUCUCUCAUAGCCGGAAUGCCAACUCUAAGGAGCUGACAAUUGGUAUCAGAGUCGGCGUCCUUGGUACCUGGACGGAGGUGGGUCGACCGGCCAGCACGCUGGAGGCGACGCGAACGGACGGUCGUUCGCAAGCGGCAGUCCAUCGAAGAGUGACGCGAACCACCAGGCGUUCACAACUGUAACGGACGUUCUGCAGUGAUCGUGAGUUAGUCGAAGGGUGAAGCGAAUGGCACAGAGGGUUGCGACUAGAGCAGAAGACAAGUGCGGGUGCUCCGUCGGAGUUGGCGACGUGGGCGAGGAAGGGUGUCACAGCCACCAGGUGUUCGCGACUGUAAGGGAUGUUCUGCAGCGAUCGUGAGUCAGUCGGAGGGUGAAGCGGACGGCACAGAAGGUUGCGACUGGAGUGAAAGACAGGUGCGGGAGGUCCGUCGGAGUUGGCGACGCCCAGUGUCAAACGCAUUCGGUGAUUAGCCAUUGUCAAACGAGGAAGGAUUUGAGGUGAGGAUGGCUGAAGGCACAAGGACAAAACAGCUGGAGUCGAGGUUGGACGCCUUGGAAGUGGGCUUUCGACAGAACCAUGAGCAGGUAGACGAGAGGCUAGAGACGGUUGAAGCUGGGGUUCAACACACCCAGGAGGAAGUCAACCACAUCCGAAAAGAUGUGUCGCUGAUGGAGAGGAACAUCUGGGAAGAGCUUUCGGGUUUGAGCUAGCAACUGAGUGCUGCCCUCGCCAUCUUCUCCUGAUAGCCACGACAUCACCCAUCUUUCCCGGACCGAGGGGUCGGCCAAACGUACAGAGUAUGCUGCUGAAGGGUCUCUUAGGGGAUCCCUAACAAACCAGAAUAAUCCCCCUCCACCGAGACUCGAAAUCCCGAUGUUUGAAGGGGAUAAACCUCGGUGGUGGGUCAGACGUUGCGAGCAUUAUUUUUACCACUACCGAAUGGCCAAAGGGAACAGGUAAACAUGGCAGCUGCCUCUGUGAAUGACAUGGCAAAUUCAUGGUUUCAAGGGUGGAGCGAACAGAGAGUAGAAUGGAGGUGGCCUGAGUUUCUCGACAAGUUCUGUGCUCGUUUUGGGGAACGAAACCUAACUGAUAUUGUGGAAGAAUUUAACAAAUUGAAGCAGGAAGAAACAGUGGAAGAGUACCUAGUGAGGAUUGAGGAGCUUAAGUCGGUGAUAAGACAAGUUCACUCGACACUGGAUGAGCAUUAUUUCGUGUCUAGCUUCCUCCGUGGGCUGAGAGAAAAGCUAAGGCCUAUAGUUAAAAUACUGCAGCCUACUUCGGUAAGACAAGUGGCUGAGAAGCCCGUUUUCAUGAAUUAUCAUUGGAAGCAUUUGUUAAGAAGCAUAAGAUAGCGUCGAAGGGAUACGGGAGAAGUAAUUGGCAAGGUAGUGCAGGGGGGCCAGUUUAAGGGCAACAACUUACUGAUUACAAAAGGGACCUAUGCACCUCGAGGAUCCCUUAGUCCUGUUCCUUUGAAGCCUCUCACAUUAGAGUAGAAGCGCCAAAUGGGGCUAUGCUUUAGAUGCAGGGAGAAAUAUGCACCUGGUCAUUAGUGUAGAAAACAACAAAUGCAAAUGGAAGGGCAAGAGGAGGAAGGAGAAGAAGAAGAAGAAGAAGAAAUCGGGGAGCAAGAAAAGGAGGGCGAUGGAGCCAACGGAGGAGGGCAAAUAUCCUUAACGCCCUAGAGGGUUGCCCCUCAAAGAAAAUAAUCAAAGAUCAAGGGGAUGGUGGGAAAGAAAGGAGUGAUAGUCCUCAUUGACAGUGAAAGCACGCAGCUUCUUGGAUGAGGACAUGGUUAGAGAGUUGCGGUGCCCCUUGCACGCAACCCUUCCCUUAGCUGUUACAGUUGCAAACGGUAGCAAAAUGAUCAGUAAAUAUAGGUGCAGGGACUUCACAUGGAGGAUGCAGGGGCAUGAAUUCACCACUGAAUUGAGAAUACUGCAUUUGGGAGGUUGCCAUAUCGUGUCAGGCGUUGAUUGGAUGAAGACGGUGAGCCCCUUGAUAUUUGAUUUUAAUACGUUAGAAGUAGCUUUCGAAAAGGAAGGCAAGAGAUUGACGUUAAUAGGGUGUUUAGAGGAGGGGGAGUGUAAAGUGAUUUCUAGCAGCAACUUAAAAAAACUGACUGAGCAUGGGGGAGCUGCCAUAGCUCAACUGCACUCUUUGUAUGCAAUCGUGUUGGCAGAGGAACAAGGGAAUACCGAAGGAGAGGCAGCAGUUGAUCAUUCUUGGUUCAACUUGGAUGCUGUAGUGACCCCUCCGAGCGAGGUGCUUUUGUAAGAGCAGUUGUUUUGUUGGGGUUCCUAAAAGAUUGGUGACUUCUACUAGGGAUUAUUUGCAAAAGUAAGAGUUGGCUUUUCUUGGAAGCUUGAGGGUUGGUAUAAAUAGGGGUUCCCGGCCACUUUAUAGCACUUUCCAGCAUUUUUCAAGAUAGAAGUUUUCUGCAAAGACUUCCAGCUCCAAACCAGAUAGUUUUGAAGACUUGGAGGCUUGGAUUUUAAGGAUUCAAUCUUGCGAUGCUUACCAAUCCUCCACUGCUGCCAUUGGUGCAAGAGACUAGCAAAAAAGCUGUGGUUACUGCUUUAUACUGGGCCUUAAAGAGUGCUAUAUUCAGGUCCCACUAAAAGCUGUCGUGCUUUCUAUAAAAGGCAAGGGGUCCCUUGAUUUUGCUUAAAAGCAGCUGAACCUGAUUUCUUGAAGGAAGCAGGUAUACUUUAAAAGCAAAGCUGCCCUUUACCAAACACUGCUUCUUCAAAAAAGUUGAUAAAAAGCUGUUGUGCAUAAAAACCACAACAAUACCAAACAGGCUCAUAGUUGGUCAAUGUUGCACCUAUCAAUUGUCUAGACUCAGGAAGCAAAACAUUGGCUUGUACACCCAAUUACCUGUCACUGGAAAGAUGUUAUCAUUGAUUUUGUCCUGGGUCUUUCAUGCACCCAUGAAAAGCAUGACUCAAUUUUUGUGGUUGCGGGCUUAUUUCAUCCCAUGUAGCAAAACUUUCAAUGCCACUAAGAUUGCAAAAAUAUAUUUUAGUGAAAUUGUCAAAUUAUAUGGCCUCCCUAAGACUCUGGAGUCUAACAAGGAUGUUUGCUUUAUUAGUUACUUUUGUGAAACUCUAUAGCAUUUGGUAGGCAGCAAGUUCGCAUUUUCUACUGCAUAUCAUCUUCAUACAGAUGACUAGACCAAAGUUGUGAACCAUAGCUUGCGAAACUUGUUGAGAUGAUUGGUUUGGGAGAACCAUAGGAAAUAGGACUUGUUUCUUCCCACUGCACUGGGCAAUAGUUCUAUCAAUAGCUUACUAGUAUGAACCCUUUUGAAGUGGUACAGGGUGAUAAACUUAGGAAGCCUUUAGACCUCAUUUACAUGCCGUACAAUGUUCAAGUGUUUAAAUCAUUCAAGGCAUUUACACAAUACAUUCAUGACUUACAAGUAGUAAUGCUUUAAAAACUCCUAGCUAACAUUCAUCAUCAUCUUGCUGAAUCCAAUAUAGGGGAUUCACUCCUCUAUGAUUAGUCCCCAAGUUAUAAGCUCAUAGUGCAUGCACUUUUCAAAUAUUUAAACAAAUUGGACCAAAUGCAUA